GUGCACGCUGGCGGUAGGCCUAACACAUGCCAGUCGAACGGCAGCACCGUAAGAGCUUGCUCUUACGGGUGGCGAGUGGCGGACGGGUGAGGAAUACAUCGGAAUCUACUUUUUCGUGGGGGAUAACGUAGGGAAACUUACGCUAAUACCGCAUACGACCUACGGGUGAAAGCAGGGGAUCUUCGGACCUUGCGCGAUUGAAUGAGCCGAUGUCGGAUUAGCUAGUUGGCGGGGUAAAGGCCCACCAAGGCGACGAUCCGUAGCUGGUCUGAGAGGAUGAUCAGCCACACUGGAACUGAGACACGGUCCAGACUCCUACGGGAGGCAGCAGUGGGGAAUAUUGGACAAUGGGCGCAAGCCUGAUCCAGCCAUACCGCGUGGGUGAAGAAGGCCUUCGGGUUGUAAAGCCCUUUUGUUGGGAAAGAAAAGCAGCAGGUUAAUACCCCGCUGUUCCGACGUUACCCAAAGAAUAAGCACCGGCUAACUUCGUG
This 491-nucleotide ribosomal RNA is filed under the name uncultured bacterium. RNAcentral describes it as "partial 16S ribosomal RNA". It matches the Rfam family "Bacterial small subunit ribosomal RNA", at positions 29 to 507 of the family's 1533-position model. The record is from RNAcentral.